AAUAUUUGACACUGGGGGGAACCCUGAUCCAGCCAUGUCGCGUGUGUGAAGAAGGCGUNAUUUUUNUNAAGCACUUUAAGCGUGGNGGAGGAACUUUUUGUUAAUACCCAAGAUUCUUGGACUUUACUCGCAUACUAAGCACCGGCUAACUCUGUCCCCUCAGCCGCUGUAAUACAGAGGGUGCAAGCGUUAAUCGGAUUUACUGGGCGUAAAGCGCGAGUAGGUGGCCAAUUAAGUAAAAUGUGGAAUCCACGAGAUUAACUUGGGAAUUGCAUUCGAUACAGGUUGGCUAGAGUAUGGGAGAGGAGGGUAGGAUUCAAGGUGUAGCGGUGAAAUGCGUAGAGAUCUGGAGGAAUACAGAUGGCGAAGGCAGCCAUCUGGCCUAAUACUGACACUGAGGUGCGAAAGCAUGGGGAGCAAACA
This 423-nucleotide ribosomal RNA is filed under the name uncultured bacterium. RNAcentral describes it as "partial 16S ribosomal RNA". It matches the Rfam family "Bacterial small subunit ribosomal RNA", at positions 360 to 774 of the family's 1533-position model. The record is from RNAcentral.